This 249-nucleotide ribosomal RNA is filed under the name uncultured bacterium. Its description in RNAcentral is "partial 16S ribosomal RNA". It matches the Rfam family "Bacterial small subunit ribosomal RNA", at positions 337 to 578 of the family's 1533-position model. The record is from RNAcentral.
UCCUACGGGGGGCAGCAGUAGGGAAUCUUCCACAAUGGACGAAAGUCUGAUGGAGCAACGCCGCGUGAGUGAAGAAGGGUUUCGGCUCGUAAAGCUCUGUUGGUAGUGAAGAAAGAUAGAGGUAGUAACUGGCCUUUAUUUGACGGUAAUUACUUAGAAAGUCACGGCUAACUACGUGCCAGCAGCCGCGGGAAUACGUAGGUGGCAAGCGUUGUCCGGAUUUAUUGGGGGGAAAGCGAGUGCAGGCGG